GACGAACGCUGGCGGCGUGCUUAACACAUGCAAGUCGAACGAUGACGCACUAGCUUGCUGGUGUGGCUUAGUGGCGAACGGGUGAGUAACACGUGAGUAACCUGCCCCUCACUCUGGGAUAAGCCUGGGAAACUGGGUUUACUACUGGAUACGAUCGAACCCCGCAUGGAGUGUUGGUGGUCAGUUUUUGUGGGGGGGGAUGGACGCGCGGCCUAUCAGCUUGUUGGUGGGGGAAUGGCCUACCAAGGCGACGACGGGUAGCCGACCUGAGAGGGCGACCGGCCACACUGGGACUGAGACACGGCCCAGACUCCUACGGGAGACAGCAGGGGGGAAUAUUGCACAAUGAGCGAAAGCCUGAGGCAGAGACGCCGCGUGAGUGAUGACGGCCUGCGGGUUGUAAACCUCUUUCGCCAGGGACGAAGCUAACGUGACGGUACCUGAAGAAGAAGCACCGGCUAACUACGUG
RNAcentral lists this ribosomal RNA (469 nucleotides) under uncultured bacterium. RNAcentral describes it as "partial 16S ribosomal RNA". It matches the Rfam family "Bacterial small subunit ribosomal RNA", at positions 28 to 507 of the family's 1533-position model. The record is from RNAcentral.